UAAGAUGAUACCUGAGACUUCUAAUCUCUUAAAAGCAUAUGCUACGUCUUAU
This 52-nucleotide transfer RNA is filed under the name Gondogeneia antarctica. RNAcentral's name for it is "tRNA-Ser". Lineage: Eukaryota; Metazoa; Arthropoda; Malacostraca; Amphipoda; Pontogeneiidae. The record is from RNAcentral.